GACGAACCGUGCGAACGUUGUUCGGAAUCACUGGGCAUAAAGGGCGCGUAGGCGGCUUUUCAAGUCAGGGGUGAAAUCCGGCAGCUCAACUGUCGAAGUGCCUUUGAUACUGAGGAGCUCGAGGGAGGUAGGGGUGUGCGGAACUUCCGGUGGAGCGGUGAAAUGCGUUGAUAUCGGAAGGAACGCCGGUGGCGAAAGCGGCGCACUGGACCUCUUCUGACGCUGAGGCGCGAAAGCCAGGGGAGCAAACGGG
This 253-nucleotide ribosomal RNA is filed under the name uncultured bacterium. RNAcentral describes it as "partial 16S ribosomal RNA". It matches the Rfam family "Bacterial small subunit ribosomal RNA", at positions 524 to 776 of the family's 1533-position model. The record is from RNAcentral.